AGCACAGAGAGCUUGCUCUUGGGUGACGAGUGGCGGACGGGUGAGUAAUGUCUGGGGAUCUGCCCGAUAGAGGGGGAUAACCACUGGAAACGGUGGCUAAUACCGCAUAACGUCGCAAGACCAAAGAGGGGGACCUUCGGGCCUCUCACUAUCGGAUGAACCCAGAUGGGAUUAGCUAGUAGGCGGGGUAAUGGCCCACCUAGGCGACGAUCCCUAGCUGGUCUGAGAGGAUGACCAGCCACACUGGAACUGAGACACGGUCCAGACUCCUACGGGAGGCAGCAGUGGGGAAUAUUGCACAAUGGGCGCAAGCCUGAUGCAGCCAUGCCGCGUGUAUGAAGAAGGCCUUCGGGUUGUAAAGUACUUUCAGCGGGGAGGAAGGCGAUGCGGUUAAUAACCGCGUCGAUUGACGUUACCCGCAGAAGAAGCACCGGCUAACUCCGUGCCAGCAGCCGCGGUAAUACGGA
Molecule: ribosomal RNA, 467 nt
Filed under: Pantoea sp.
Lineage: Bacteria; Pseudomonadati; Pseudomonadota; Gammaproteobacteria; Enterobacterales; Erwiniaceae
Description: bacterial SSU rRNA
Rfam family: Bacterial small subunit ribosomal RNA
Source: RNAcentral